RNAcentral lists this ribosomal RNA (498 nucleotides) under uncultured bacterium. Its description in RNAcentral is "partial 16S ribosomal RNA". It matches the Rfam family "Bacterial small subunit ribosomal RNA", at positions 29 to 507 of the family's 1533-position model. The record is from RNAcentral.
ACGAACGCUGGCGGCGUGCUUAACACAUGCCAGUCGAACGGGCCCGCUCUCUUUUUUGGGGGUGGGUUGAGUGGCGAACGGGUGAGUAUCACGUGAGUAACCUGCCCCCUGCUCCUGGAUAACUUCUUGAAAGGGCGGCUAAUACGGGGUGUGCCGGCUGGUCCGCAUGGGCCUGGUCGGGAUAGUUUCAUCUUCGGGUGGUUCGGUGGGGGAUGGGCUCGCGGCCUAUCAGCUUGUUGGUGGGGUGAUGGCCCACCAAGGCGGUGGCGGGUAGCCGGGCUGAGAGGGAGGCCGCCCACACUGGGACUGAGCCACGGCCGGGCGUAGUGCGGGCGGCGGCGGUGGGGGGAAUUACAAAAUGGGCGGAAGCCUGAUGCGGCGGCGGCGCGUGAGGGAUGCGGGCCUUCGGGGUGUGAACCUCUUUCUCCGGUGGUGAAGGCCCUGUCCGUUGCGGCGGGGUUGACGGUAGCCGGGUAUGAAGCGCCGGCUAACUACGUG